CCCCUCAUAGACUAGCGGCCAAAGUCGCUACCCUGUCACGGUAGAAAUCACGGGUUCAAAUCCCGUUGGGGGGA
RNAcentral lists this transfer RNA (74 nucleotides) under Enterococcus sp. Its description in RNAcentral is "tRNA-Asp". It matches the Rfam family "tRNA". Rfam says of the family: Transfer RNA (tRNA) molecules are approximately 80 nucleotides in length. Their secondary structure includes four short double-helical elements and three loops (D, anti-codon, and T loops). Lineage: Bacteria; Bacillati; Bacillota; Bacilli; Lactobacillales; Enterococcaceae. The record is from RNAcentral.